This is a long non-coding RNA of Mesocricetus auratus (golden hamster), 268 nucleotides long. RefSeq lists it as uncharacterized. Lineage: Eukaryota; Metazoa; Chordata; Mammalia; Rodentia; Cricetidae. The record is from RefSeq and is a predicted model, not a curated record. The transcript is spliced from 3 exons.
GAGGAACUGAAGGGCUAUUGAAGACAGAAAUUACUGGUAGCCUUAAGCUGUUUGGGUAAACAUCUCAAAAGAUUUGGACUCUCUGGCCAUGGGAUUGUAGGCUGGCACUCCCCAGGAUUGUUGACUCUUUACAAAUAUGUCUCAUCACCUGGUGCCGAGUGCCCUGGAUGGACAGACACCACUAUGAUGGACAGGGUUCCCCAAAGAUUCUGUCACCCCAAGACAGCAGGAAGAAGUGUAGAGAACACAACACCCACAUUCUCCAGAG